GGGCCCAUAGCUCAGCUGGGAGAGCGUACGGUUCGCAUCCGUAAGGUCGGGAGUUCGAUCCUCCUUGGGUCCACCA
This 76-nucleotide transfer RNA is filed under the name Clostridia bacterium. RNAcentral's name for it is "tRNA-Ala". It matches the Rfam family "tRNA". From Rfam's summary of the family: Transfer RNA (tRNA) molecules are approximately 80 nucleotides in length. The record is from RNAcentral. Lineage: Bacteria; Bacillati; Bacillota; Clostridia.